RNAcentral lists this ribosomal RNA (1206 nucleotides) under metagenome. RNAcentral describes it as "bacterial LSU rRNA". It matches the Rfam family "Bacterial large subunit ribosomal RNA", at positions 1104 to 2297 of the family's 2925-position model. The record is from RNAcentral.
UCUUAGAAGCAGCCACCCUUUAAAGAAAGCGUAAUAGCUCACUAGUCGAGUCGGCCUGCGCGGAAGAUGUAACGGGGCUCAAACCAUACACCGAAGCUACGGGUAUCACUUAGGUGAUGCGGUAGAGGAGCGUUCUGUAAGCCUGUGAAGGUGAGUUGAGAAGCUUGCUGGAGGUAUCAGAAGUGCGAAUGCUGACAUGAGUAACGACAAUGGGUGUGAAAAACACCCACGCCGAAAGACCAAGGUUUCCUGCGCAACGUUAAUCGACGCAGGGUUAGUCGGUCCCUAAGGCGAGGCUGAAAAGCGUAGUCGAUGGAAAACAGGUUAAUAUUCCUGUACUUCUGGUUAUUGCGAUGGAGGGACGGAGAAGGCUAGGCCAGCUUGGCGUUGGUUGUCCAAGUUUAAGGUGGUAGGCUGGAAUCUUAGGUAAAUCCGGGAUUCUAAGGCCGAGAGCUGAUGACGAGUUACCCUUUGGGUGACGAAGUGGUUGAUGCCAUGCUUCCAAGAAAAGCUUCUAAGCUUCAGGUAACCAGGAACCGUACCCCAAACCGACACAGGUGGUUGGGUAGAGAAUACCAAGGCGCUUGAGAGAACUCGGGUGAAGGAACUAGGCAAAAUGGCACCGUAACUUCGGGAGAAGGUGCGCCGGUGAGGGUGAAGGACUUGCUCCGUAAGCCCACGCCGGUCGAAGAUACCAGGCCGCUGCGACUGUUUAUUAAAAACACAGCACUCUGCAAACACGAAAGUGGACGUAUAGGGUGUGACGCCUGCCCGGUGCCGGAAGGUUAAUUGAUGGGGUCAGCUAACGCGAAGCUCUUGAUCGAAGCCCCGGUAAACGGCGGCCGUAACGAUAACGGUCCUAAGGUAGCGAAAUUCCUUGUCGGGUAAGUUCCGACCUGCACGAAUGGCGUAACGAUGGCGGCGCUGUCUCCACCCGAGACUCAGUGAAAUUGAAAUCGCUGUGAAGAUGCAGUGUAUCCGCGGCUAGACGGAAAGACCCCGUGAACCUUUACUAUAGCUUUGCACUGGACUUUGAAUUUGCUUGUGUAGGAUAGGUGGGAGGCUUUGAAGCGUGGACGCCAGUUCGCGUGGAGCCAACCUUGAAAUACCACCCUGGCAACUUUGAGGUUCUAACUCAGGUCCGUUAUCCGGAUCGAGGACAGUGUAUGGUGGGUAGUUUGACUGGGGCGGUCUCCUCCUCAAAAA